Molecule: ribosomal RNA, 484 nt
Filed under: uncultured bacterium
Lineage: Bacteria
Description: partial 16S ribosomal RNA
Rfam family: Bacterial small subunit ribosomal RNA
Source: RNAcentral
AUUGAACGCUGGCGGCAUGCUUUACACAUGCAAGUCGAACGGCAGCGCGGGCUUCGGCCUGGCGGCGAGUGGCGAACGGAUGAGUAAUGCAUCGGAACGUGCCCAGUAGUGGGGGAUAGCCCGGCGAAAGCCGGAUUAAUACCGCAUACGACCUGAGGGUGAAAGCGGGGGACCGAAAGGCCUCGCGCUAUUGGAGCGGCCGAUGUCGGAUUAGCUAGUUGGUGGGGUAAAGGCUUACCAAGGCGACGAUCCGUAGCUAGUCUGAGAGGACGACCAGCCACACUGGGACUGAGACACGGCCCAGACUCCUACGGGAGGCAGCAGUGGGGAAUGGUGGACAAUGGGGGCAACCCUGAUCCAGCCAUGCCGCGUGCGGGAAGAAGGCCUUCGGGUUGUAAACCGCUUUUGUUCGGGAAGAAAGCCUCUGGGCUAAUACCCCGGGGGGAUGACGGUACCGGAAGAAUAAGCACCGGCUAACUACGUG